RNAcentral lists this transfer RNA (69 nucleotides) under Ursus spelaeus (cave bear). RNAcentral describes it as "transfer RNA-Lys". Lineage: Eukaryota; Metazoa; Chordata; Mammalia; Carnivora; Ursidae. The record is from RNAcentral.
CAUUAAGAAGCUAACAUAGCAUUAACCUUUUAAGUUAAAGACUGUAGAAUGCAAACUUCUCCUUAAUGA